ACUUUUUUUUUCCCCUCAAGAGAGUAUGUUCUGACCUAUUUCAAAGUGGUGCUUAACAAUUCAAGUGAUAGGAACACCUGGGUGGCUCAGUGUUGACCGUCUGCCUUCGGCUUGGGGUGUGAUCCUGGAGUCCCAGGAUCAAGUCCCAUAUCGGGCUCCUUGCAAGGAGCCUGCUUCUCCUAUCUCUGACUCUCUCUGUGUCUCUCAUGAAUAAGUAAAAUCUUAAAAAAAAACAAAAACAAAAACAAUUCAAGUGAUAUAAUUACCCUAUGUUUUGAAGUUGACUGCCUAUGUAAUAAAGAGGAACAAUUCUCCAUGUAUUUGAGUUGGAAAAAUGAGACAUACCAGAUCUUGCAUCUCUUUCUGGAGUCGCACCAAGGCUUUCCGAGUGCCAACAGCAAAUACAUAGGUAUCCAUGUCUUCAUCAUUCAUGGUUACUUUUAUUUGCUUAAAGACAACAACAACAGAAUUCACCUGUUAGAUUCUGUGAUAUGCAGAGUUCUAUGAUGGCCCCUGAGAGUCCCACCCCCUGAGGUCUACAUUCUUCCCUUGAAUGUGAGAGGAACCUUUGGCAACAGUAAGAAAAUGGAGACUUACAACCAUGGGGACCGGACUUCUGCCAACAACGUAAAUGACCUUGAAAAGAGGAACUCAAGCUCUAGAAAUUCAAGUUGCUGAACAACUGGACUUAUUGGGAGGAUAGAGUACCCAGAAAGGGCCUGGGAGCCCUCUGUAUACCAUCCCCAUGCCCAUAUCUUGCCUCUCUUCCAUUGGACUAUUCCUGAAUUGUAUCCUUUAUAAUAAACCAGUAAAUAUAA
Molecule: long non-coding RNA, 818 nt
Organism: Canis lupus familiaris (dog)
Lineage: Eukaryota; Metazoa; Chordata; Mammalia; Carnivora; Canidae
Exons: 2
Source: RefSeq, a predicted model, not a curated record